ACGCUGGCGGCACGCCUAAUACAUGCAAGUCGAACGAAGUAGCAAUACUUAGUGGCAGACGGGUGAGUAACAUGUGGGUAUCUUCCCUUUGGUGAGGAAUAACACGAGGAAACUUGUGCUAAUACCUCAUAAGUCUUUACGGAGAAAGCUUUAUGCGCCAUUGGAUGAGCCUGCACUUGAUUAGUUUGUUGGUGGGGUAAUGGCCUACCAAGACUUUGAUCAAUAGCUGAUUUGAGAGGAUGAUCAGCCACAUUGGGACUGAGACACGGCCCAAACUCCUACGGGAGGCAGCAGUAGGGAAUCUUGCACAAUGGAGGAAACUCUGAUGCAGCGAUGCCGCGUGAGUGAAGAAGGCCUUUGGGUUGUAAAGCUCUUUCGUCGGGGAAGAAAAUGACUGUACCCGAAUAAGAAGGUCCGGCUAACUUCGUGCCAGCAGCCGCGGUAAUACGAAGGGACCUAGCGUAGUUCGGAAUUACUGGGCUUAAAGAGUUCGUAGGUGGUUAAAAAAGUUGGUGGUGAAAUCCCAGAGCUUAACUCUGGAACUGCCAUCAAAACUUUUUAGCUAGAGUAUGAUAGAGGAAAGCAGAAUUUCUAGUGUAGAGGUGAAAUUCGUAGAUAUUAGAAAGAAUACCGAUUGCGAAGGCAGCUUUCUGGAUCAUUACUGACACUGAGGAACGAAAGCAUGGGUAGCGAAGAGGAUUAGAUACCCUCGUAGUCCAUGCCGUAAACGAUGUGUGUUAGACGUUGGAAAUUUAUUUUCAGUGUCGCAGUGAAAGCAAUAAACACACCGCCUGGGGAGUACGACC
RNAcentral lists this ribosomal RNA (806 nucleotides) under uncultured Pelagibacteraceae bacterium. RNAcentral describes it as "bacterial SSU rRNA". It matches the Rfam family "Bacterial small subunit ribosomal RNA", at positions 33 to 887 of the family's 1533-position model. The record is from RNAcentral. Lineage: Bacteria; Pseudomonadati; Pseudomonadota; Alphaproteobacteria; Candidatus Pelagibacterales; Candidatus Pelagibacteraceae.